GUAACUGGAAGAACUAAAGAUUCUCAUUCCCUUAUAGCCAUGUGUGAGUGGACUAGAUGUAUGCAAAAGUUUCUUCAGUAGGUGGUAUACCCAGUAUUUCUGGUGGCCUGUGUAGGAGAGCUGGCCAAGGGAGGAGAAGUGAGGGAGAAUGGAUUUGGAAGGAGCUCCAGCAGCCUCCAGGAUAUUAUUGAGAUACCCACAGGUUUCCAGCUGUCACGGAUCUGAAGAAAUGUUUGAAAAUAUGGCUGGAGUUCAACUAGCAUUUGCCUGAGUCUGCAGACAGUCUAAAACCAAAACCUUCAACAAACACAAACUGCACCCCUCCUUUCAAAGACAACAGAGAUGCAGACACAGGAGGAACACAUAGGUUCUGCUCAGAUCUUGGUUUUGCCUCAUUUCAGCCUAGGAAGCAGGAGCAGUGAGGGGUAUAUCCACACAGCAUCAAACUGCAUGUCCUCAGUGCCCAUAGUGCUUUGUCCAUGCAGCAGGGUGGAAAGCAACAUCCUCAGAACAGAGAAUACCGGGAGAGUGCACAAACCAUCACGGACUUCUACACUGAGCUGGCAUACUCAGCUGCUGUUGAUUGAUAUACCUGCUGGAUCAAAGCCCUAUUCUCUUCUAUUGGAUGGAAUAUUUAUUGGUAGUCCUGGUGUCCUCUAUCCGGAUGUGGGUACGUUCCAGCUCAAUAGCAAGGGUGCUUGUGCAAGCAGGAUGGCAAACAAUAGUUUCUUGUUUUGACUGCAGGUUGUUAAAAUACUACUUUGGAGGUUGUGUCACAAUAUUGGAAUGUGAUUCAGUAGCAAAGACACAGAAGUGUUUUAAAGGGGUAUCAUGCAGAUCUCUGUGUGCUCAGGGUACAAGUGAAAGUCUGCAUGGCUCUGGGCUUGUACUGCAUAUACACGCUACAGAGACACAGCACCUUCUGAAUUUCUUUGCAGGUGGUUUCUAAAGUUCUUCAGCAUUUCCUUGGCUCCUCCAUGAGGUUUGUCCAGUCUUUCCUUCCCCUUGAAAAACAUUAUCUGACAAUGAGAUGCUGCAGUUAGGAAGUUUCCUUCCCGGGCCAGAAAGAAAUCAUUCUAUGACCUACACGGGUGACAGUGCUCCCAGGAAUAGAUUUACACUAAUAAUCAGAGAAAAGCCAGAGGGCUACGGUGGAGCAAGAAAAGAUUCCUUGGCAAUACUAAGGGUAGUUAGUUAAUUACAAAAGAAAUGCCUCUGCAAACUUCCAAAAUGAAAUUAGCAGGGGUUGUCAAGUGCCUUGAUCUGCUAGUGAUGUGCUGGGCAGCAACUUUGUCUUCUGGCCUUCCUACAGAUAGAGACAACUGAGGUCUUGGACAAACAAUCCAUUAGCCAUGUAGGACAACUGUCUGUAGUUGGGCUCACAUUCAGUGAGUUAAUAGGUGGCAUACAUGACUAUGGCUAGUUAGGACAUUUGGAGAUGCUGAAAUCUUGUGUUGUGCUGGACUGGAGAGAAAAUCCUGAGAAAUACCAUGUGCUGACAAACAAAAAGGAAAAAAUAUACAAGUUUUUCUCAGUUGAAAUGUUUUGUUUGGACAUCUCCAUGAAAUAGCUGAGAAAGAAAAGAAGAAAAAAAAUUGAAAUGAAACUUCAAAAUUUAAUUAGACAGCACAGAAAGUUAUUUUGAACAAAACACAAAUGUCUCUUUAGUCAAUGUUCAACCAGCAUGUUUUGAUUAUUUUGGGUUUUUGCCCCCCUCAAUCUUUUUUUUCCCCUCUUGGCUCUCUGGAAAUUCAGUGACACCAAACCAUUCCUAGAAGAAAGAUUCUGGUUUGGAUGAAUCCAAGUUUUUCAACAACAACAUGUUUUGUGAGAAAAUUCCCCGCUGCUUCUGUUCAUCAAUAAAUUUGAUGAGUUUAACCAGCCUCACGGCUGGCUGGGGACAAAGAGAUCCCCCACUUCAAGAAGUGGAUAAAUAACUUGGCACAAAGUCCUUCUCUGUUGACUCAGUUUACUUUGUGGACCCGGGCAUGACUGUCAUAAUAAAUUAAAGCAUAAGCAGUCCCAUUUGUCACUUCACCACUUCCUUUUGCUGCCUUCCAACAUGUGGUAAACCCAUUAGUUUUAACACAGAGAAAAGCUCAGAUGAGGGGAGGAGGACAGUGCUACAAUUAAGGGGAAAGAGGAAAAUAGAAGACUUGUGGGGCACAGUGAAGGCUUGGCGGGCACAAAUUGAGUCUUUUUGGGGGCAGAACCACACUCAAGUCGUCGUGUCACCCUCAAAAUUCAUAGGGUGGUCCAAAACCAGAGUUACAGAAGCCUCCUCUCAGUCUUGCCCAGCCCCGGAUUUCAGAGUAAGGUGCAAGAUGUUCUUUGAUGUCUCUUCAGCUGUGCGCGGCUCCUCUUCGCUGCUCCUUGCCAUAGUCUGCAGCAAUUUCCUAGAGCCAGACGAGGGAUAUGUUCAGAGCAGGCCCCUUGCUGACAAGGUGUGAACAGAUUGAUGGCCAUCCCGUCCCACCUGGCGGCACAGGAAUACGCGCAGCCUGAGAGAGCUGUCCGGGAAUCCCCUGCCGAACCUGAGCCCUGAAGAAACAGGUUUUGGCUUUGAACGAGAGCAGAGGUCACAUUCAGAAAGAGAGAAGGGCGUGUACACGUGUAUAAGUGCGGUGGGAGCUCAGAAGAAUGUAAGUUUAGGAUCUGAAAGCAUCACACUCCUGAAUUAUGAUUAUUUAUUAUGCUGAUAUUGCCUAGAGGGCCCAGCCUCAUUGUGCUAAGGACUUCACAGGCACAGAAUGAAGAAACAGUCUCUGUCUGGAAGAUGGAUGAGGAAAACCUCCCUACAGGGGCUGGGAACAGGUGUGGCAUCUAUCCAUCACACUGAUGGAGCGUGUUUGCAAGAUGGGUUUGUGAGCAUGUGUAAGUGUAGGGGAGACAACAGGAGAAGGAGAAAGUUGGAUGGUGAUUUUAAUCUGUCUGGCUCUAAAGAAGUGUUUUAUUUUUUUCUUUUAACCUCACCUUUCCUCUCCAGUAGUGAUUAUCCACAGGUAAGAUAAGAAUUAUCAAAAAGUUUUAGUUAUUCUGCUGAAAAUAUGGAUGCUGAGAGAUGUGCUGCAGUCAUUCCCUCUGUAUCUUUAAGGAAGUCACUUCGGACUUUUUUUUAAUAGUAAUGAAGAAUCUAAUCCCUGUAGUGUCUCCUUAAAGAUCUGUCUUUUUCUCAUCUUUUAGCUCUUCAGUUUCACUAAGUUUUAGCUAAAAAAGAAAGGAAGUGAAUGAAGCAGCAGGUUUUUUUGCAUGAACAGCAUAUUGAAUGCCACCUGGUUUCCCCAUGGACAUGUAGCACAUGUCUGAUUAUUUUGUGACACUUCUGUCCUUGCUGAGUCCUCCAUCAUGCUGGGGCUGAGCAAAGCAUCAGAUCAUGGUUGGGGAGGAAUCUGCAGCUCUGACAGGUGGGCUGCGGGGUUUCAGCUGUCUUCACUUUGCUUGGGGGAGGCACUGGAAACCUCUCCCCCAUGUCAGGAUUGUGUGAGGUGGGACCAUGGGCUCAAAAGGUCCCAACUACAGAAAAUAUUUUCUUAGGGAGUCAGGUAAGGAUUGUUGUUCUCUUAGAGCAACAUCCUGGAAACAUAGAGGUGAAAUCUGCUAAAUAUUGAGGAAUCCUGUGCUUGUUAAGGGUUAAUGAAUCAACUGCCCUGAAGCUUAUUGAAGAGAAGGGAACAGAGCAUUCUGCACAUCAGUGGGAUAUGGUGCUUCUUGAGUACUUUAGGGAGAAAAAGGAAAGAGAUGUAUAAUUUUCUUUCUUUUAGUUCUCAGAACAAUCACUAGCAAGAAAAAACUUAGCUAUUCUUAGUUGCAUCUAGGAGCUGUGCAUAAUCUUUCCUGCUGAAUUAUGGAAUAUGAUAGCUUUUAUUAAAUCCAUUACAAUUACAGCCUCUCUGCUGCACAGGUUUAUAAUAUGGAAUUACUAGGGUGCAUAAUUUCAAAUAAAUAUUUAAGAUUUUGAUGCAUUAUAGUUUUAGACUCUUAGAAAAUAGAAUUACAUUUAGUUUUGUCUAUUUUAUUUGACACAAACUUUCCUACCCAGCUGCUUCUUAGUGUUACUUUUUCCUUCUUUUUUUCCAUUUUCUAGUUUUUAUACUGGGGAACAGAUCAUGACUGGUGCACUUUUGCCCAGGAUUUAUAUUGGUGACUUGAGUCUUCUAUAAAGUGGCUGGGUGUAUAAAACCAGAGAUAGGGAGAAUUCUCCAUAAAGUUGGAACUAAUCUCAGGAAGCAUGCAGCUAAAAAAUGUAUCAGUCAAAACUCUGACAGGAAAAGAUCCAUAAAAUUUGGACAAAUUCUGUUGAAGGAAAGAAGUGACAAGUAUAUUUUAUUCCAGAAUUUGGAUUCAGUGUUUGCAGGUGAUCCAGGAGUUAUAGGAGAACGGGAGGCCUGAAGGCUUCUGUUUCCCUGCAUCUCCAGCCAACAGCUCCUGUGGGCUUCUUCUUCCUCCAAGGCACUUCCAGUUACCGAGAGGAAUGCACAAGAGCUGACUGAGUAUGGUAAGUGGGAACUGCUUUCCUAGACCUUGAUGUACCUCUACUGGAGCACAUGUGUACAAACACAGAUGAUGCUCUCCAAGAUGCACUGCACUUAGCCUGGCCAUGUGCUGAUGAGAACUUCCUGCUGGUGGCCUGUGCUGCCUGAGCUGAUGGUUCUUUGCUGAACCAGCAGCUCCCAGUUCCUUGUGCUGCUCCCAGCCUUGCGUUGGUUGCUUCACAAAAUUCACAAGUAUCAGAAAUACCCAAUCCCCAAAGUAAUGAGGACAGGGUCAGAACUUCCCAGAGGCUCAUAUUUUCCCACUCAGGUUGCCCAGCUGUUUGAUGCCAAAGGGAAGCAAGGAUGGGAAUUUCUGAGCACACUAACAAGAGGGAAAACCCCUCCGUGUGAUCUGUGUGCUUCUUUUGUCUUCCCCACACCUGCUUCCUUUCCUCUUCUCCCCACCCACCCCUCAAGAAGAUGCUCUAGGUGUUGGCUUUGCCUUGGCUGCCAAUACUCUGCAGAGAUGUGUUAAUGAUGACUGGCAGCUUUUAAAAGUGCUGUUUCAACACCUUGCUGUCACCACACCUCAUACUUCAGCAGCUUAGCACAUGUUCCAAGGUGUUUAAAGAGCUUCCCGUGCAGCCCUUUUCCAGGCACUAACCUCUUGCCAGGAGCAGUAGCAGCUCCUGACCGCAAUUUCUGGCUGCGACCUUGUUAGUAUUUGCCUACGACAUGUAAAUGAGCAGCGCAGUCGUUAGCUAACGAAAUGUGUAAUGUUUUCCAUUGUGUGGAAGGCUCAGAGCUGACAAGACCAGAGCCUGUGUUCCAAAGUUUAAAGCAGUUGGCAGGUUUCUCAGUACCAGUUUUUUAUGCCCCCAAGUGGGUUAUGGAGCGGAAAAGGGGGUGGAGAGGAAAGGAGAGGGAGGAAUGUGUGUGGCUGUGUGGUGGGGGGAGAGUUAGUGGGAGAGAAGGGCCAUUUGCAAGCCACCAGCUUUGAAUUCAGCUUGCAAGGGCCUUGUGGUUGCGCUGAAGGGCCUGUUGGACUCAUUUGAUUGACUCUAGGCUUAAUGCUGCUUGCCACUUACCAGCACUUGUCUUUGCUCAUUAGCAGGGGGAUUGUGGGCAAAUAUUUAGAUAUUCAAGAGAGGAAAUGUUAAUCUUUGCCGUGUUCACUGAAUAUUGAAAUGAGGCAGCAGGCAGUUUUGCUCUGAGUUUGACCUAGACUUCCAUUGCCGAGCAAACACUCAAGUCCUGGGAUGGAUUUACAGAAUGGCACCUCCUGGGUACUGGGGUUCAAAUCACACAUGGUAAUUCAGACCUUCUCAAGAAAUGCAGUGCAAGCAGCCCAAACAAACACUACUGUACACAAAUGGUACAGAAGCUUUCAUCUGAGAAAUGUGAGGCACAGGAAAGUGCAACCCUGGUGGAGUCAGAAUAAUGCAGUGUUGUAGACCCUCUGCUUCAUGGGCAGGAGGUGGCCUCACGGUGAUGGUUAAAGAUGGUGAGGACCUAUAAUUACUGGUAAACUGAGCAUUAGGCAUGCUCUUUGUAAUUAAAAAAAUGAGAAAAAUACAGAUAUUCUCUUGAGGUCUGGACAGGUAGAUGUCCUGAACAAAAGCAGGAAUUAAGAACUUAAUGUGUUUGGAGGUGAAUGUGGUGUUUGUGCUGAUGUCCUGAUAUCUCACAUACUGAUUCGUAGAUGAACAAGUUACCUCCUUGGAGCAUGAAGUGGACUCAGGUGAGGUUAAUCAGCACUGAUACUCUGGAACAGAUAAUGGGAAUCAUAGAAUCACCAAGGUUGGAAAAGACCUAAAAGAUCAUCCAGUCCAACCGUUCACCUAUUACCUGCUAAACCA
Non-coding RNA from Coturnix japonica (Japanese quail), 6331 nucleotides. The record is from RefSeq and is a predicted model, not a curated record. Lineage: Eukaryota; Metazoa; Chordata; Aves; Galliformes; Phasianidae.